ACGAUUGACGGAGCGAAGCGACGUCAAAGCGUUCAUUAAAGUCGAGUUGGCUUAGGGAUACGUUCGUUGGGUAGGGGAGCGUUCUGUAAGCCGUUGAAGGUGGCCUGUGAGGGUUGCUGGAGGUAUCAGAAGUGCGAAUGCUGACAUAAGUAACGAUAAAGCGGGUGAAAAGCCCGCUCGCCGGAAGACCAAGGGUUCCUGUCCAACGUUAAUCGGGGCAGGGUGAGUCGACCCCUAAGGCGAGGCCGAAAGGCGUAGUCGAUGGGAAACGGGUUAAUAUUCCCGUACUUGGUGUUACUGCGAAGGGGGGACGGAGAAGGCUAUGUUGGCCGGGCGACGGUUGUCCCGGUUUAAGCGUGUAGGUGUGUGUUCCAGGUAAAUCCGGUUCACUUUAACACUGAGGCGUGACGACGAGGCACUACGGUGCUGAAGCAACAAAUGCCCUGCUUCCAGGAAAAGCCUCUAAGCAUCAGGUAACAUCAAAUCGUACCCCAAACCGACACAGGUGGUCAGGUAGAGAAUACCAAGGCGCUUGAGAGAACUCGGGUGAAGGAACUAGGCAAAAUGGUGCCGUAACUUCGGGAGAAGGCACGCUGACACGUAGGUGAAGUGAUUUACUCAUGGAGCUGAAGUCAGUCGAAGAUACCAGCUGGCUGCAACUGUUUAUUAAAAACACAGCACUGUGCAAACACGAAAGUGGACGUAUACGGUGUGACGCCUGCCCGGUGCCGGAAGGUUAAUUGAUGGGGUCAGCGCAAGCGAAGCUCCUGAUCGAAGCCCCGGUAAACGGCGGCCGUAACUAUAACGGUCCUAAGGUAGCGAAAUUCCUUGUCGGGUAAGUUCCGACCUGCACGAAUGGCGUAAUGAUGGCCAGGCUGUCUCCACCCGAGACUCAGUGAAAUUGAACUCGCUGUGAAGAUGCAGUGUACCCGCGGCAAGACGGAAAGACCCCGUGAACCUUUACUAUAGCUUGACACUGAACAUUGAGCCUUGAUGUGUAGGAUAGGUG
This 1009-nucleotide ribosomal RNA is filed under the name Salmonella enterica subsp. enterica serovar Stanley. RNAcentral's name for it is "partial 23S ribosomal RNA". It matches the Rfam family "Bacterial large subunit ribosomal RNA", at positions 1182 to 2149 of the family's 2925-position model. Lineage: Bacteria; Pseudomonadati; Pseudomonadota; Gammaproteobacteria; Enterobacterales; Enterobacteriaceae. The record is from RNAcentral.